Molecule: ribosomal RNA, 396 nt
Filed under: Erpobdella obscura
Lineage: Eukaryota; Metazoa; Annelida; Clitellata; Hirudinida; Erpobdellidae
Description: partial 28S large subunit ribosomal RNA
Rfam family: Eukaryotic large subunit ribosomal RNA
Source: RNAcentral
GCACCACCGGCCCGUCUCAGCCGCAGCGUCGGCGAGGCGGAGCAAGAGCGUACUUGUUGGGACCCGAAAGAUGGUGAACUAUGCCUGAGCAGGACGAAGCCAGAGGAAACUCUGGUGGAGGUCCGCAGCGAUUCUGACGUGCAAAUCGAUCGUCUGACUUGGGUAUAGGGGCGAAAGACUAAUCGAACCAUCUAGUAGCUGGUUCCCGUCGAAGUUUCCCUCAGGAUAGCUGGCGCUCAUUCACGAGCAGUUUUAUCCGGUAAAGCGAAUGAUUAGAGGCCUUGGGGACUUACCGUCCUCAACCUAUUCUCAAACUUUAAAUGGGUAAGACGUCCGACUCGCUCGAUUGGAGUUGGGCAUACGAAUGCGAGUGCCAAGUGGGCCAUUUUUGGUAAG